This 253-nucleotide ribosomal RNA is filed under the name uncultured bacterium. RNAcentral's name for it is "partial 16S ribosomal RNA". It matches the Rfam family "Bacterial small subunit ribosomal RNA", at positions 524 to 776 of the family's 1533-position model. The record is from RNAcentral.
UACGGGGGGGGCAAGCGUUGUUCGGAAUUACUGGGCGUAAAGGGCUCGUAGGCGGCCAACUAAGUCAGACGUGAAAUCCCUCGGCUUAACCGGGGAACUGCGUCUGAUACUGGAUGGCUUGAGUUUGGGAGAGGGAUGCGGAAUUCCUGGUGUAGCGGUGAAAUGCGCAGAUAUCAGGAGGAACACCGGUGGCGAAGGCGGCUACCUGGACAGAGUCUGACGCUGAGGCACGAAAGCUAGGGGAGCAAACAGG